RNAcentral lists this unclassified non-coding RNA (205 nucleotides) under uncultured Agaricales. Its description in RNAcentral is "sequence contains ITS2". Lineage: Eukaryota; Fungi; Basidiomycota; Agaricomycetes; Agaricales. The record is from RNAcentral. RNAcentral also lists the same sequence under 2 other names.
AAUUCUCAACCUCACCAGUUUUGUAAUGAGACAGGUGAAGGCUUGGAUGUGGGGGUUUGCAGGCUGCCUCAGUGCUGGUCUGCUCCCCUGAAAUGCAUUAGCGAGCUCAUAUUGAGCUUCCGUCUAUUGGUGUGAUAACUAUCUAUGCCGUGGAUUGGAACUCAUGCUUGCUUCUAACCGUCCGCAAGGACAAUUUACUUGACCA